RNAcentral lists this ribosomal RNA (540 nucleotides) under Pluralibacter gergoviae. RNAcentral describes it as "partial 23S ribosomal RNA". It matches the Rfam family "Bacterial large subunit ribosomal RNA", at positions 2263 to 2802 of the family's 2925-position model. Lineage: Bacteria; Pseudomonadati; Pseudomonadota; Gammaproteobacteria; Enterobacterales; Enterobacteriaceae. The record is from RNAcentral.
GGGUAGUUUGACUGGGGCGGUCUCCUCCUAAAGAGUAACGGAGGAGCACGAAGGUUGGCUAAUCCUGGUCGGACAUCAGGAGGUUAGUGCAAUGGCAUAAGCCAGCUUGACUGCGAGCGUGACGGCGCGAGCAGGUGCGAAAGCAGGUCAUAGUGAUCCGGUGGUUCUGAAUGGAAGGGCCAUCGCUCAACGGAUAAAAGGUACUCCGGGGAUAACAGGCUGAUACCGCCCAAGAGUUCAUAUCGACGGCGGUGUUUGGCACCUCGAUGUCGGCUCAUCACAUCCUGGGGCUGAAGUAGGUCCCAAGGGUAUGGCUGUUCGCCAUUUAAAGUGGUACGCGAGCUGGGUUUAGAACGUCGUGAGACAGUUCGGUCCCUAUCUGCCGUGGGCGCUGGAGAAUUGAGGGGGGCUGCUCCUAGUACGAGAGGACCGGAGUGGACGCAUCACUGGUGUUCGGGUUGUCAUGCCAAUGGCAUUGCCCGGUAGCUACAUGCGGAAGAGAUAAGUGCUGAAAGCAUCUAAGCACGAAACUUGCCCCGA